Acanthaster planci (crown-of-thorns starfish) is the source of this 74-nucleotide non-coding RNA. Lineage: Eukaryota; Metazoa; Echinodermata; Asteroidea; Valvatida; Acanthasteridae. The record is from the annotation of a RefSeq genome assembly.
GGGAAGGUAGCUUAAUUGGUUAAAGCAUUCGGCUCAUAUCCGAAAGAGUGCGGGUUCGAAUCCCGCCCUUGCUA